CGGCCGCGUCGACCUGACGCUGAGGCGACGAAAGCGGUGGGGAGACAAACGAGGAUUAGACUACCCUGGUAGUCCACGACCGUAAACGAUGAGUGACUAAGUGGUUUAGGGGGUUUCCCGUCCCCUUUAGGUGCUGCAGACUAACGCAUUAAGCACUCCNCCGUGGGGAGUACGGGCCACGAAGGCUAGAACUACAAAGGAAUUGACGGGGGCCCGCACAAGCGGUGGAGCAUGUGGUUUAAUUCGAAGCAACGCGAAGAACCUUACCAGGUCUUGACAUCCCGCUGCCCGCCUUAGAGAUAAGGCUUUCCCUUCGGGGACAGCGGUGACAGGUGGUGCAUGGUUGUCGUCAGCUCGUGUCGUGAGAUGUUGGGUUAAGUC
RNAcentral lists this ribosomal RNA (381 nucleotides) under uncultured low G+C Gram-positive bacterium. Its description in RNAcentral is "bacterial SSU rRNA". It matches the Rfam family "Bacterial small subunit ribosomal RNA", at positions 726 to 1086 of the family's 1533-position model. Lineage: Bacteria; Bacillati; Bacillota. The record is from RNAcentral.